RNAcentral lists this ribosomal RNA (253 nucleotides) under uncultured bacterium. Its description in RNAcentral is "partial 16S ribosomal RNA". It matches the Rfam family "Bacterial small subunit ribosomal RNA", at positions 524 to 776 of the family's 1533-position model. The record is from RNAcentral.
UACGUAGGGGGCAAGCGUUGUCCGGAUUCAUUGGGCGUAAAGAGCGUGUAGGCGGCCAGGCAGGUCGGUUGUGAAAACUGGAGGCUCAACCUUCAGACGUCGACCGAAACCAUCUGGCUAGAGUCCGGGAGAGGAGAGUGGAAUUCCUGGUGUAGCGGUGAAAUGCGCAGAUAUCAGGAGGAACACCGGUGGUGUAGACGGCUCUCUGGGCCGUAACUGACGCUGAGACACGAAAGCGUGGGGAGCAAACAGG